Molecule: long non-coding RNA, 521 nt
Organism: Humulus lupulus (European hop)
Lineage: Eukaryota; Viridiplantae; Streptophyta; Magnoliopsida; Rosales; Cannabaceae
Exons: 4
Source: RefSeq, a predicted model, not a curated record
UCUCUAAUGAUGAUGUUGAUGGUGGCAGGGCUUGGCAAGGCGAGGUGUAGGCUCGAUGAUGUUAGCAUGGAGGUGGGACUGUGGGGAUGGUGUUGUAACAGCGGGGACUUCAAUGCGACUAGGGUACCGUUGCCGUGAAGAAAAUGGUUUAUUUUGAUUACAUCCCCACUUAUCUAAAAGGCUAAGCUUCUAUGGAGGGGUGCUGAGUGUUGGAAUGAGUGUUUAAAGCUUUUGGGCGUUGCUGAAGCAGCAGAAGCAUCAAUGGAUUCUGACCAGUUAAGCUCUGGAAUUUCAGAUUUUGAUACUCACUUUCAAGGCCUCAUAGUUUAGAAAAGUGAUGAUGACGACUCUGAGAAUGAGUCAGCACUUGAAAUUCAUCCAUACUUGAUGGAAGAAAAAUGUAAGACUGCAAUUCCUUUGUUAAUAAUGUUGUACUGUUUUUUUUUUGCCUCCCCUCAUUGAAGUGCUCAUGCUUUUGAUAUUUUUUUUCCCUAGAAUUUUAAUGAUUUCUCAUCUCCUAC